AGAGUUUGAUCCUGGCUCAGGAUGAGCGCUAGCUACAGGCUUAACACAUGCAAGUCGAGGGGAAACGACAUCGAAAGCUUGCUUUUGAUGGGCGUCGACCGGCGCACGGGUGAGUAACGCGUAUCCAACCUGCCCAUCACUUGGGGAUAACCUUGCGGAAGUAAGACUAAUACCCAAUGACGUCUCUAGAAGACAUCUGAAAGAGAUUAAAGAUUUAUCGGUGAUGGAUGGGGAUGCGUCUGGAUUAGCUUGUUGGCGGGGUAACGGCCCACCAAGGCGACGAUCAGUAGGGGUUCUGAGAGGAAGGUCCCCCACAUUGGAACUGAGACACGGUCCAAACUCCUACGGGAGGCA
Molecule: ribosomal RNA, 354 nt
Filed under: uncultured bacterium
Lineage: Bacteria
Description: bacterial SSU rRNA
Rfam family: Bacterial small subunit ribosomal RNA
Source: RNAcentral